RNAcentral lists this ribosomal RNA (207 nucleotides) under uncultured bacterium. Its description in RNAcentral is "partial 16S ribosomal RNA". It matches the Rfam family "Bacterial small subunit ribosomal RNA", at positions 568 to 774 of the family's 1533-position model. The record is from RNAcentral.
UCCGUAGGCGGUCAGGUAAGUCAGUGGUGAAAGCCCAUCGCUCAACGGUGGAACGGCCAUUGAUACUGUCUGACUUGAAUUAUUAGGAAGUAACUAGAAUAUGUAGUGUAGCGGUGAAAUGCUUAGAGAUUACAUGGAAUACCAAUUGCGAAGGCAGGUUACUACUAAUAUAUUGACGCUGAUGGACGAAAGCGUGGGUAGCGAACA